Molecule: ribosomal RNA, 245 nt
Filed under: uncultured bacterium
Lineage: Bacteria
Description: partial 16S ribosomal RNA
Rfam family: Bacterial small subunit ribosomal RNA
Source: RNAcentral
GCAAGUCGAGCGCGAAAGUACCUUCGGGUGCGAGUAGAGCGGCGGACGGGUGAGUAAUGCAUGGGAAUCUGCCCAGUAGAGGGGGACAACAGCCGGAAACGGCUGCUAAUACCGCAUACGCCCUACGGGGGAAAGCAGGGGAUCUUCGGACCUUGCGCUAUUGGAUGAGCCCAUGUCGGAUUAGCUUGUAGGUGGGGUAAUGGCCUACCUAGGCGACGAUCCGUAGCUGGUCUGAGAGGAUGAUC